Molecule: ribosomal RNA, 253 nt
Filed under: uncultured bacterium
Lineage: Bacteria
Description: partial 16S ribosomal RNA
Rfam family: Bacterial small subunit ribosomal RNA
Source: RNAcentral
UGCAGAGGGUGCGAGCGUUAAUCGGAAUUACUGGGCGUAAAGCGUGCGUAGACGGCUAUCUAAGUCGGGUGUGAAAGCCCCGGGCUCAAACUGGGAAUUGCAUUCGAGACUGAAUAGCUAGGGUGCGGUAGAGGGAAGCGGAAUUUCCGGUGUAGCGGUGAAAUGCGUAGAUAUCGGAAGGAACAUCAGUGGCGAAAGCGGCUUCCUGGACCAGCACCGACGUUCAGGCACGAAAGCGUGGGGAGCAAACAGG